RNAcentral lists this long non-coding RNA (972 nucleotides) under Mytilus galloprovincialis (Mediterranean mussel). The record is from RNAcentral. Lineage: Eukaryota; Metazoa; Mollusca; Bivalvia; Mytilida; Mytilidae.
AAGACUUUGAUGUUUCAAACAUGGAAUACAGAUGACUUGUUAACAAAGUUUAAAUUUGUCUAAUGGAUAUUGUCCUUGACCUCAUUUUGAUUGUUCAUUAACUUCUUUGAAAUGUUUUAUUUUUGUCCUGAGAAUUUCUCACUUAUUAAUUUUAUUUGUGAUAGGAAAACUACAUUCAGUAUACAGACUCCUUACAAAUCUUCAUGUUCAUCAGACGGGAAUCAUCUAGAUUUUUGUGUUCAGGUCAGAUACUAUUAACAGCAGGCUAAUCUAAUGAUUGCAAGGUGUUCAUGCAUGUCUGAGUCUUAACAACAUGUUCAUAGUUCAUGUUUAUUGUUAAGUUUUUGUUGUUUAGGUUUUUUUUCUUAAAUUUCAGUAAAGGUUUAACUUUUUCAGCAUAUGGAUCAUUUAAUAUGUCCUGGUUCAUCUGACUUUGACCUCAUUUACAUGAAGCCUUGAUAAGGUUAAGGUUAGGAUGCUUGUACAACCUUUAUAUGACAGUGUGUGCAUUGUUCUUUGAUUUACAUAUGGAAAAGUGCAUAAUAUUGAUUGUUUUUAUUUAAGGACAAAUGUAUUGGAAAUGUAGGCUUGUGUUUUAGUGAGAGAGAAUGUUAAUAAUUAUUCAUUGUAUCAUGUCUACACAAAAAAAAAUCAUCUUAACUGUUGAAUGACAUUUACUGUAGAUUCAUUAUUAUUCGUUUGAUACCAAUUUUUCGUUGAUUUUGUGGGUGCAAGUAAACCAUGAGUUAAAUGUUCAAUGAAUGACAAAUUUUAUAUAGGCUUGUACGCUGACUUCAACAAAAUCAUGAAAUUAAAUAUCCAUGAACAUGUAAGUUCUUAUUAAUCAAUGAAAAUUGGUACCCACGAAAAUAAAUGAAUCCACAGCAUUUUAUAUUUUAAAAAUUGUGAAUUUAUUUUUGACCAGACUUUAUAUAGCUAGCAAUGUUUAACAAUGAUAUAUUAAGAAUACAC